AUGUCUCACCCGGGAACAAACCCGAGUGCAGCGGCUGGAGGAGGGAAGGCUUCCCCGGGCCGCGAGGUGGGGUGCAGCCCAGGGCGCCUGCAGCUGGUUACCUCGGGAGGCAGGGAAAAGAGGCGCCCGGGAACGGAGGUCUGCAGAGGAGACGGGGAGGGCGGGCUGAGGCAGGGACCCUGCCGAGUGCGAAGCGGGGAUGAGGACGGGCCAACAGCAGGUCUCGGCCUCCCCGGGCCAAAGGCGUGGCCAGGGAUCCAGAUCAAACGCUGGUCUUUUGGAGACGCCAGGGGCGGCACGCGGCCGGUCCCUCCUUUGAGCCCCCGCGCUGGGCCCGUCCGAGGGCCGCCCCACGAAGCACCGGGAGGGCAGAGGGGCUCCGCAGGGCCGGCCCGCCCCCACCCCGCAGUGCUCUUACCUCCACACCUGCCCCAUCUGCAGCAGGUGGAUGACCGACUGCCAGAUCCACACGGAGAGGCGGCACAGGCGCUGCGCCCCGGCGUGGCCGAGACCCCGCGCCUGGGACGCCGCGGGCCGCGCCGUAGACGGCCCCCAUCAUGGGGGGCCCCGGCUGCUGAGCCCCUCCACGGCGCCCAGCCCGCCGCCCGUGUAGUCCUGCACGAACCAGCGGAAGCUCAGGCUCUGCACCAGCAGCGACGGCACCAGCACGAAGAAGAGGGUCAGCCCGAAGUAGCCGUAGUCCCCCUUGCGGUAGUAGUCGAGGGCCAGCCACAGGUCGGUGCCCACGUCCCCGAAGAACACCAGCAGCGCCAGCACGAUCCACAGGCAGUCGAGCCACGGCCGCUCCACCUGCGGCGGCGGCGGCUCUGGCCGCGCGGCCGAGGGCGUCGGGGUUGGCGGUCGGCGCCGGGGGCCGCGGGAGGCUGCAGCGGCUGGUCCCCCCGUCGGCGGCGGCGCUGCGGCGCGGCUUCUGCCCAGGAGGGAGCGCAGGCAGGCGGAGCGGCAGCCCCAGUAGCACGAGGAGGUGUUGCAGCAGUGGCAGAUGUGCAGCGAGCUGCUCUCGCCGGGCUCGCUGCCGUCGCCGCCGCCGCCGCAGCCGCCUCCCCGGGCUCCCCGUCCUCCUCGCCGCCACUGCCCACCGCCUCGUCCAGGUUGUGCAGCUGA
RNAcentral lists this long non-coding RNA (1125 nucleotides) under Macaca fascicularis (crab-eating macaque). RNAcentral describes it as "lncRNA (ENSMFAG00000049408.1)". Lineage: Eukaryota; Metazoa; Chordata; Mammalia; Primates; Cercopithecidae. The record is from RNAcentral.